This 886-nucleotide ribosomal RNA is filed under the name Harmajaea harperi. RNAcentral describes it as "partial large subunit ribosomal RNA". It matches the Rfam family "Eukaryotic large subunit ribosomal RNA", at positions 71 to 938 of the family's 3401-position model. Lineage: Eukaryota; Fungi; Basidiomycota; Agaricomycetes; Agaricales; Pseudoclitocybaceae. The record is from RNAcentral.
AGGAUUCCCCUAGUAACUGCGAGUGAAGCGGGAAAAGCUCAAAUUUAAAAUCUGGUGGUCCUUGUGGCUGUCCGAGUUGUAAUCUAGAGAAGUGUUAUCCGCGCUGAACCGUGUACAAGUCUCCUGGAAUGGAGCGUCAUAGAGGGUGAGAAUCCCGUCUUUGACACGGACUGCCAGGGCUUUGUGAUGCACUCUCAAAGAGUCGAGUUGUUUGGGAAUGCAGCUCAAAAUGGGUGGUAAAUUCCAUCUAAAGCUAAAUAUUGGCGAGAGACCGAUAGCGAACAAGUACCGUGAGGGAAAGAUGAAAAGAACUUUGGAAAGAGAGUUAAACAGUACGUGAAAUUGUUGAAAGGGAAACGCUUGAAGUCAGUCGCGUUGGCCAGGGAUCAACCUUGCUUUUUUGCUGGGCGUAUUUUCUGGUUGACGGGUCAGCAUCAAUUUUGACUGUUGGAUAAAGGUUGAGGAAAUGUGGCAUCUUUGGAUGUGUUAUAGUCCUUGAUUGCAUACAACAGUUGGGAUUGAGGAACUCAGCACGCCGAAAGGCUGGGUGUUUACACUACAUACGUGCUUAGGAUGCUGGCAUAAUGGCUUUAAUCGACCCGUCUUGAAACACGGACCAAGGAGUCUAACAUGCCUGCGAGUAUUUGGGUGGAAAACCCAGAUGCGCAAUGAAAGUGAUAGUUGAGAUCCCUGUCGUGGGGAGCAUCGACGCCCGGACUUGAAGUUUACUGACGGUUCCGCGGUAGAGCAUGUAUGUUGGGACCCGAAAGAUGGUGAACUAUGCCUGAAUAGGGUGAAGCCAGAGGAAACUCUGGUGGAGGCUCGUAGCGAUUCUGACGUGCAAAUCGAUCGUCAAAUUUGGGUAUAGGGGCGAAAGACUAAUCGA